This is a microRNA precursor of Lepisosteus oculatus (spotted gar), 95 nucleotides long. Ensembl annotates it as microRNA 18a. Its record names the gene mir18b. Lineage: Eukaryota; Metazoa; Chordata; Actinopteri; Semionotiformes; Lepisosteidae. The record is from Ensembl.
UACUGCUUGUGCUAAGGUGCAUCUAGUGCAGAUAGUGAAGUAGAUUAGCACCUACUGCCCUAAGUGCUCCUUCUGGCAUAAGGGGCUGUGAUCUG